This 1004-nucleotide ribosomal RNA is filed under the name Enterococcus faecalis. RNAcentral's name for it is "bacterial SSU rRNA". It matches the Rfam family "Bacterial small subunit ribosomal RNA", at positions 33 to 1014 of the family's 1533-position model. Lineage: Bacteria; Bacillati; Bacillota; Bacilli; Lactobacillales; Enterococcaceae. The record is from RNAcentral.
CCCCCCGGGGGGGGUGCUAUACAUGCAGUCGUACGCUUCUUUUUCCACCGGAGCUUGCUCCACCGGAAAAAGAAGAGUGGCGAACGGGUGAGUAACACGUGGGUAACCUGCCCAUCAGAAGGGGAUAACACUUGGAAACAGGUGCUAAUACCGUAUAACAAUCGAAACCGCAUGGUUUUGAUUUGAAAGGCGCUUUCGGGUGUCGCUGAUGGAUGGACCCGCGGUGCAUUAGCUAGUUGGUGAGGUAACGGCUCACCAAGGCCACGAUGCAUAGCCGACCUGAGAGGGUGAUCGGCCACAUUGGGACUGAGACACGGCCCAAACUCCUACGGGAGGCAGCAGUAGGGAAUCUUCGGCAAUGGACGAAAGUCUGACCGAGCAACGCCGCGUGAGUGAAGAAGGUUUUCGGAUCGUAAAACUCUGUUGUUAGAGAAGAACAAGGAUGAGAGUAACUGUUCAUCCCUUGACGGUAUCUAACCAGAAAGCCACGGCUAACUACGUGCCAGCAGCCGCGGUAAUACGUAGGUGGCAAGCGUUGUCCGGAUUUAUUGGGCGUAAAGCGAGCGCAGGCGGUUUCUUAAGUCUGAUGUGAAAGCCCCCGGCUCAACCGGGGAGGGUCAUUGGAAACUGGGAGACUUGAGUGCAGAAGAGGAGAGUGGAAUUCCAUGUGUAGCGGUGAAAUGCGUAGAUAUAUGGAGGAACACCAGUGGCGAAGGCGGCUCUCUGGUCUGUAACUGACGCUGAGGCUCGAAAGCGUGGGGAGCAAACAGGAUUAGAUACCCUGGUAGUCCACGCCGUAAACGAUGAGUGCUAAGUGUUGGAGGGUUUCCGCCCUUCAGUGCUGCAGCUAACGCAUUAAGCACUCCGCCUGGGGAGUACGACCGCAAGGUUGAAACUCAAAGGAAUUGACGGGGCCCGCACAAGCGGUGGAGCAUGUGGUUUAAUUCGAAGCACGCGAGACCUUACCAGUCUUGACAUCCUUUGACACUCUAGAGAUAGAGCUU